GCAUAUCAAUAAGCGGAGGAAAAGAAACCAACCGGGAUUGCCUUAGUAACGGCGAGUGAAGCGGCAAAAGCUCAAAUUUGAAAUCUCCGCAAGGCGAGUUGUAAUUUGAAGAAGGCGACUUUGGAAUGGGCCCUUGUCUAUGUUCCUUGGAACAGGACGUCACAGAGGGUGAGAAUCCCGUGCGAUGGGGUGUCCCGUUCCGUGUAAAGUGUUUUCGACGAGUCGAGUUGUUUGGGAAUGCAGCUCUAAGUGGGUGGUAAAUUCCAUCUAAAGCUAAAUAUUGGCGAGAGACCGAUAGCGAACAAGUACAGUGAUGGAAAGAUGAAAAGCACUUUGAAAAGAGAGUGAAAAAGUACGUGAAAUUGUUGAAAGGGAAGGGCUUGAGAUCAGACUUGGUGACUCGUCACUGGGCCAGCAUCGGUUCGGGUGGCAGGACAAGACCGUGGGAACGUGGCUCUGCUUCGGCGGAGUGUUAUAGCCCGCGGUGAUACUGCCUACCUGGACCGAGGACUGCGGAAACUAGGAUGCUGGCAUAAUGAUCUUAAGCCGCCCGUCUUGAAACACGGACC
Molecule: ribosomal RNA, 569 nt
Filed under: Teunomyces cretensis
Lineage: Eukaryota; Fungi; Ascomycota; Pichiomycetes; Serinales; Debaryomycetaceae
Description: eukaryotic LSU rRNA
Rfam family: Eukaryotic large subunit ribosomal RNA
Source: RNAcentral